AAUUAUGGCAGUUUUUUUAAUGUAGAGAAAAGCCACAGUGAUCCAUCAGCAGCAGGAUGGCUGUGAUGGAUCACUGUGGCUUUUCUCUACAUUAUUCACUCUCAACAUGACACAAAAACACACCAAUAGUAUUAUUUGACUGGAUACUGGGAUGAAGAUAAUUGUCACAAUAUUGUCAUGCCUAAUAACUGUUUAUCUAUUUUAUUGUUUACUUGUUAUUUUGUGGCUUUUUAAAACCGUAGCUUCUUAUUGCUAACAAAUGUUCACCUUUCAAUCAAUUUUUGUUUUAAUUUAUCAGGUUUUACAUGCAAAAGAUACUAUGUUCCAUGUAAAGAGUGUGGGUUGGUGGUCCACACGUGCUACACAGAGCUUUGAUGACCACCAUCUACAUGGUGUAGCGGCAUACUGUUGUUUGUAUCGGCUUAAUUCCUUAAUACAGCGGUCCCCAAUCCCCGGGCCAUGGACGGGUACCGGUCCAUGAGUCAUUUGGUAUCAGGCCGCGAGAGUUGGGGCUCGGGUGUGAAAUUGAUGGUUUUCAGGGUUUUUUAGCAUUAUUUUUAGAUCAUUUUUAUCAUUAACUCAGUUUCCCUGUUUUUUUCCCCUGUGUAUCUUCUUUUUUUUUGGUAUCAGUACUAGUUUUAUUUUGUUGUAUUUAUCUGCAGCACCUUAAAGGCCGGUCCAUGAAAAUAUUGUCGGACAUAAACCGGUCCGUGGCGAUGAAAUGGUUAAGGACCGCUGCUUUAAUAGACAUGAUGGAAGCAUCAGAAGGCGAUAGCUGUGACUGCAAAACAACUUCCAGUCCUACAGAAGUGUAGGGCAAAAACAGCUUUCUGAUUGAACUCUGCAAACGCUUUCCUGAUGAGUAUGUGGGCUCAGUCGUUCACUUCGUCCAUUUCGUAACAUCUUGGUCAUUCUACAUUUUUGAAAGGAGAAUUAUCACUGUUGUGCUCGUUGGCUUGUGAUUUGUGCUCGUCACAUUAGCAGCCAAUGAGAAAACCCUUUUGCAGUCACAAUUUUUGAAACGAACACA
Long non-coding RNA from Astatotilapia calliptera (eastern happy), 1030 nucleotides. NCBI's taxonomy places the organism in Eukaryota, Metazoa, Chordata, Actinopteri, Cichliformes, Cichlidae. The record is from Ensembl.